UGGGGAAUUUUGGACAAUGGGCGAAAGCCUGAUCCAGCAAUGCCGCGUGUGUGAAGAAGGCCUUCGGGUUGUAAAGCACUUUUGUCCGGAAAGAAAUCCUUGGCUCUAAUACAGUCGGGGGAUGACGGUACCGGAAGAAUAAGCACCGGCUAACUACGUGCCAGCAGCCGCGGUAAUACGUAGGGUGCAAGCGUUAAUCGGAAUUACUGGGCGUAAAGCGUGUGCAGGCGGUUUGCUAAGACCGAUGUGAAAUCCCCGGGCUCAACCUGGGAACUGCAUUGGUGACUGGCAGGCUAGAGUAUGGCAGAGGGGGGUAGAAUUCCACGUGUAGCAGUGAAAUGCGUAGAGAUGUGGAGGAAUACCGAUGGCGAAGGCAGCCCCCUGGGCCAAUACUGACGCUCAUGCACGAAAGCGUGGGGAGCAAACAGGAUUAGAUACCCUGGUAGUCCACGCCCUAAACGAUGUCAACUAGUUGUUGGGGAUUCAUUUCCUUAGUAACGUAGCUAACGCGUGAAGUUGACCGCCUGGGGAGUACGGUCGCAAGAUUAAAACUCAAAUGAAUUGACGGGGUCAUAGCUGUUUCCU
This 585-nucleotide ribosomal RNA is filed under the name uncultured bacterium. RNAcentral's name for it is "partial 16S ribosomal RNA". It matches the Rfam family "Bacterial small subunit ribosomal RNA", at positions 355 to 1375 of the family's 1533-position model. The record is from RNAcentral.